AUUGAACGCUGGCGGCAGGCCUAACACAUGCAAGUCGAACGAGUGGCGGACGGGUGAGUAAUGUCUGGGAAACUGCCUGAUGGAGGGGGAUAACUACUGGAAACGGUAGCUAAUACCGCAUACCAUCGGAUGUGCCCAGAUGGGGUUAGUUUGUUGGUGGGGUAACUGCUCCCCCAGGCGACGAUCCCUAGCUGGUCUGAGAGGAUUAUCAGCCACACUAGGACGGAGACACGGCCCAGACUCCUACGGGAGGCAGCAGUGGGGAAUAUUGCACAAUGGGCGCAAGCCUGAUGCAGCCAUGCCGCGUGUAUGAAGAAGGCCCUAGGGUUGUAAAGUACUUUCAGUCGGGAGGCGUUACCGACAGAAGAAGCACCGGCUAACUCCGUGCCAGCAGCCGCGGUAAUAC
This 406-nucleotide ribosomal RNA is filed under the name uncultured bacterium. RNAcentral describes it as "partial 16S ribosomal RNA". It matches the Rfam family "Bacterial small subunit ribosomal RNA", at positions 30 to 526 of the family's 1533-position model. The record is from RNAcentral.